CCGCCAUUUAAAGAUACUGCAAUCUUGAAUUUUCAAUUGUAUAUAGGACCUGGACUUUCAACCUCCAAUCAAUAGGAGUCUUCCCAAGGGACAUAAUCAAACCAUGUUUCAUUAUUAAUGGAUGUAUGGUUUAAAAGAUAUCAAAAUCCUUUGGUUCUUUUUUCAUUCCUAGGAGCAUUUACACACAGGCAUUGGUAAUUAUUCUUAUGUA
Molecule: long non-coding RNA, 211 nt
Filed under: Mytilus galloprovincialis (Mediterranean mussel)
Lineage: Eukaryota; Metazoa; Mollusca; Bivalvia; Mytilida; Mytilidae
Source: RNAcentral